Molecule: non-coding RNA, 583 nt
Organism: Vicugna pacos (alpaca)
Lineage: Eukaryota; Metazoa; Chordata; Mammalia; Artiodactyla; Camelidae
Source: RefSeq, a predicted model, not a curated record
UUGUCAUUUCCUUUUUCCUAGAUUACUCAGAAGUAUCAACUUCAUGAAGUCACUGCCUAUAACUAUUUGAAAAGAAAGGAGAUAUUCAUGGUGCCUUUUUAAUAAUGCUAGAGAUUACCCGCAAGUAUCAACUUCAUGAAGUCACUGCCCUUCUAUUAGAAAAGAAAGGAGAUGUUCAUGGUGCCUUCUUAACCAGGAAGCCACCCACGCCCAGCUCCUGCUGUGCCUAGAAGACCUGUCAGGAAGGACGCCAGGAGGGGGCUGCAGAACAGUGACCGACCUUGGGUCACUGCUGGGCCCAGGCAGCAAGAAGCAUCUAGUCCCUGUGGGCAGGAGGCCAGCAUAUGAACGGACAGCAGAGCAGAGCUGCUGCUGGCAGCCCCAGGCUGGCGUCUGGGCCCCGGAUGUUAGGAGCCACUGCUGCCCCCUUGGUCAUCUGAAGCCCUCUUUUCCUCCUGCCUCGGCUCAGAGUCUCUGUGACCUGGCCCCAGCCUUGCCUCUGGAUCCUGGCAUGCCAAGGCCUGGUCCGUGCCUUCCUGCCCAGCCCACAGAACCCCGGCCACCCCUCCAGCUAGGAUGAGGG